CGAAUGCAGCUGAAGUGGCUCCGUAUCAGGUUCAGGGGACGUUGGGGGACGCGUCGGUUGGCGGCAGCCCUAGGCGUCGUCGGUCGGGACGGUCUUGCGACAACCCUGCACUCCUGUGUGGAGCCGGCCAACGGCAGUUGCCCCUAGCCCAGAAGGUCGGUCGGGAGGUGCCUCUGCACACUCUUGUGCAGAGAACGUACAGCCGUCAGUCCGGCGGUCCGGGGACGACUGAGGAGAGUCGUGAAUUUUCACGCGUGCAGCGCAGGCCCUCGGGCCGGGUCGCCUCUGUCCGUUUGGGCCCCGCGGUGGGGACUGCUUUGCAGUGUCCGCCGACGGUCAGUCCGCUCGGUCGGGGGGUCGGCC
RNAcentral lists this ribosomal RNA (363 nucleotides) under Demospongiae sp. GW5814. RNAcentral's name for it is "partial 28S large subunit ribosomal RNA". The record is from RNAcentral. Lineage: Eukaryota; Metazoa; Porifera; Demospongiae.